This 377-nucleotide ribosomal RNA is filed under the name Zhangixalus dulitensis. RNAcentral describes it as "Rhacophorus dulitensis partial 12S ribosomal RNA". The stretch from base 39 to 377 matches the Rfam family "Bacterial small subunit ribosomal RNA", at positions 875 to 1384 of the family's 1533-position model. The record is from RNAcentral. Lineage: Eukaryota; Metazoa; Chordata; Amphibia; Anura; Rhacophoridae.
GCUUAACCGUAAAAUCCAACUCACAAUUAACAACGCCAGGGUACUACGAGCCUUAGCUUAAAACCCAAAGGACUUGACGGUGUCCCACCCAACUAGAGGAGCCUGUUCUAUAAUCGAUAAUCCACGAUAUACCAAACCAUUUUUUGUUAUUCAGCCUGUAUACCUCCGUCGCAAGCUUACCGUAUGAACGAAUAUCAGUAGGCUCAAUGGUCAAAACACCAAAACGUCAGGUCAAGGUGCAGCUCAUGAAAUGGAAGAAAUGGGCUACAAUUUCUAAACUAGAACAAACGAAAUACUAUAUGAAAUAUAGUCAUGAAGGCGGAUUUAGCAGUAAGUAGAAAACAGAGAGUUCUACUAAAUAUGGCCCUGGGACGUGU